Molecule: ribosomal RNA, 434 nt
Filed under: uncultured Faecalibacterium sp.
Lineage: Bacteria; Bacillati; Bacillota; Clostridia; Eubacteriales; Oscillospiraceae
Description: partial 16S ribosomal RNA
Rfam family: Bacterial small subunit ribosomal RNA
Source: RNAcentral
ACGGAAGGCAGCAGUGGGGGAUAUUGCACAAUGGGGGAAACCCUGAUGCAGCGACGCCGCGUGAAGGAAGAAGGUCUUCGGAUUGUAAACUUCUGUCGUUGGGGACGAUAAUGACGGUACCCAACAAGAAAGCCACGGCUAACUACGUGCCAGCAGCCGCGGUAAUACGUAGGUGGCAAGCGUUGUCCGGAAUUACUGGGUGUAAAGGGAGCGCAGGCGGGCCGGCAAGUUGGAAGUGAAAUCCAUGGGCUCAACCCAUGAACUGCUUUCAAAACUGUCGGUCUUGAGUAGUGCAGAGGUAGGUGGAAUUCCCAGUGUAGCGGUGGAAUGCGUAGAUAUUGGGAGGAACACCAGUGGCGAAGGCGGCCUACUGGGCACCAACUGACGCUGAGGCUCGAAAGUGUGGGUAGCAAACAGGAUUAGAUACCCUGGUA